Molecule: non-coding RNA, 128 nt
Filed under: Sulfitobacter litoralis
Lineage: Bacteria; Pseudomonadati; Pseudomonadota; Alphaproteobacteria; Rhodobacterales; Roseobacteraceae
Description: Ruegeria cis8 sRNA
Rfam family: Ruegeria cis8 sRNA
About the family: Cis-encoded.
Source: RNAcentral
AUUGCGAGGACCUUGGCGAUAUAGGGGAUCAACGGCAGGUUCAGGAUCAACAAAACGAAAUUACCGAUGAACAUGGACAUGAUGACAGCCCAGAAAAUCUGCGGCUCGUCGAUCAUAAGGCGUGGCCC